AUUGAACGCUGGCGGAAUGCUUUACACAUGCAAGUCGAACGGCAGCACGGGGGCAACCCUGGUGGCGAGUGGCGAACGGGUGAGUAAUACAUCGGAACGUGCCCGGUCGUGGGGGAUAACGUAGCGAAAGUUACGCUAAUACCGCAUACGAUCUGAGGAUGAAAGCGGGGGACCUUCGGGCCUCGCGCGAUCGGAGCGGCCGAUGUCAGAUUAGGUAGUUGGUGGGGUAAAGGCCUACCAAGCCGACGAUCUGUAGCUGGUCUGAGAGGACGACCAGCCACACUGGGACUGAGACACGGCCCAGACUCCUACGGGAGGCAGCAGUGGGGAAUUUUGGACAAUGGGCGCAAGCCUGAUCCAGCCAUUCCGCGUGCAGGACGAAGGCCUUCGGGUUGUAAACUGCUUUUGUAUGGAACGAAAAGGCUCUGGCUAAUACCUGGGGAUCAUGACGGUACCGUAAGAAUAAGCACCGGCUAACUACGUG
This 484-nucleotide ribosomal RNA is filed under the name uncultured bacterium. RNAcentral describes it as "partial 16S ribosomal RNA". It matches the Rfam family "Bacterial small subunit ribosomal RNA", at positions 30 to 507 of the family's 1533-position model. The record is from RNAcentral.